GACGAACGCUGGCGGCGUGCCUAAUACAUGCAAGUCGAGCGGAAGUUGGAGAGCUUGCUCUUCAACUUUAGCGGCGGACGGGUGAGUAACACGUAAAGAACCUGCCCAUAGGUCUGGGAUAACCACGAGAAAUCGGGGCUAAUACCGGAUGUGUCAUCGGACCGCAUGGUCCGCUGAUGAAAGGCGCUCCGGCGUCGCCCAUGGAUGGCUUUGCGGUGCAUUAGCUAGUUGGUGGGGUAACGGCCCACCAAGGCGACGAUGCAUAGCCGACCUGAGAGGGUGAUCGGCCACACUGGGACUGAGACACGGCCCAGACUCCUACGGGAGGCAGCAGUAGGGAAUCUUCCACAAUGGACGAAAGUCUGAUGGAGCAACGCCGCGUGAACGAUGAAGGCUUUCGGGUCGUAAAGUUCUGUUGUAAGGGAAGAACAAGUGCCGCAGGCAAUGGCGGCACCUUGACGGUACCUUGCGAGAAAGCCACGGCUAACUACGUGCCAGCCGCCGCGGUAA
Molecule: ribosomal RNA, 510 nt
Filed under: uncultured bacterium
Lineage: Bacteria
Description: partial 16S ribosomal RNA
Rfam family: Bacterial small subunit ribosomal RNA
Source: RNAcentral